ACCCACGUAUGUUGAAAAAUGCGGGGAUGAGGUGGGGGUAGCGGAGAAAUUCCAAUCGAACUCGGAGAUAGCUGGUUCUCCCCGAAAUAGCUUUAGGGCUAGCCUCGGAAUUUUAGAGUCGUGGAGGUAGAGCACUGAUUGGGUGCGGGGCCCGCAAGGGUUACCAAGCUCAGUCAAACUCCGAAUGCCAUAGACUUAUAUCCGGGAGUCAGACAGUGAGUGCUA
Molecule: ribosomal RNA, 225 nt
Filed under: Paenibacillus lautus
Lineage: Bacteria; Bacillati; Bacillota; Bacilli; Caryophanales; Paenibacillaceae
Description: partial 23S ribosomal RNA
Rfam family: Bacterial large subunit ribosomal RNA
Source: RNAcentral